CUUUUUAACCCUCCUGUUGUCCUCAAGUUAAGACCUACAUCCCAUGUCUCAAGGGUCACACUGUCCCAGUCCGCACUGACUGGGGUCUUUUUGACCCAGUGAAAGGUCCUGUAGUCCUCACACAGUAAAAAAAAAUAAUAAUAAAAAAAAAUAAAAAAAUAAACCUGCAUCCCACGUCUCAGGGGUCACACUGACUGGGGUACUGACUGGGGUCUUUUUGACCCAGUGAUGACUGGGGUCUUUUUGACCCGGUGAAAAGUCCUGUAGUCCUCACACAGUAAAAAAAAAAACCUGCAUCCCACGUCUUAGGGGUCACACUGUCCCCAAUGUGGAAAUAUAUACUCACACACAUAUAGUAAUAAUAAUAAUGAUAAUAAUGAUAAUAAUAAUAAUAAUAAUAAUAAAAUUAACAAAUUAAUAAUAAUAAUAAUAAUAAUAAUAAUAAUAAUAAUAAUAAUAAUAAUAAUAAUGAGCAGACGGAGGGGAGGCGAGAGAUGACCUGAUAUCUCUAGCCGAUACCACACUGUUGAGCAAUGAUGUUUUGAUCAGAAGGACAAAGUUGAAUUUUAUGAUGAAUGACGAGAUGUCCUUUGAGGAUUGGUACAGCUACUAUUAUGACUUUUAGCCAUAAAACAAUGUUGUGUUGUAAUCUGUGGUGUGAUGUGCGCAAAUAAAGUCAUCAUCUGAAGCAAAA
Molecule: non-coding RNA, 694 nt
Organism: Xyrichtys novacula (pearly razorfish)
Lineage: Eukaryota; Metazoa; Chordata; Actinopteri; Labriformes; Labridae
Source: the annotation of a GenBank genome assembly